AAUCAGUUGUCCGUCGCUAAAGUCGUAGUCAACCACACCGACAGACACCACACGCAUAAGCUGAAAGAAAAAAAUUGUCUGACAAGAGCAAUUACAAUUACACAUUGCAGAGCACAUGGAAAGGACACUGUGGUCGCCGCGCCAGUACAUAUUCUUGGUGUUGUUGUUGCGGUUAGGGUAGAGCGAACACCAAUAACAUCAGCAACAGCAAAAGCAACAACAUAGCACUGAAACCUGGAAUCCACUGACUCCAUCGAUGGUGGCCAACGAAUAUGAACAUGUAAUUACGUUUUAAGUGCUAACUGGUAAAAUAUUUACGUAAAACUAUGUAAACUUAAUUGAAAUUUAAUUGAAAAUGUCAUAAAUGUGUGAACAAAACGGAA
Molecule: long non-coding RNA, 383 nt
Organism: Drosophila pseudoobscura
Lineage: Eukaryota; Metazoa; Arthropoda; Insecta; Diptera; Drosophilidae
Exons: 2
Source: RefSeq, a predicted model, not a curated record